UUAAGUUAUUAAGGGCGCACGGUGGAUGCCUUGGCACUAGAAGCCGAUGAAGGACGUUACUAACGACGAUAUGCUUUGGGGAGCUGUAAGUAAGCUUUGAUCCAGAGAUUUCCGAAUGGGGAAACCCAGCAUGAGUUAUGUCAUGUUAUCGAUAUGUGAAUACAUAGCAUAUCAGAAGGCACACCCGGAGAACUGAAACAUCUUAGUACCCGGAGGAAGAGAAAGAAAAUUCGAUUCCCUUAGUAGCGGCGAGCGAAACGGGAAGAGCCCAAACCAACAAGCUUGCUUGUUGGGGUUGUAGGACACUCUAUACGGAGUUACAAAGGACGACAUUAGACGAAUCAUCUGGAAAGAUGAAUCAAAGAAGGUAAUAAUCCUGUAGUCGAAAAUGUUGUCUCUCUUGAGUGGAUCCUGAGUACGACGGAGCACGUGAAAUUCCGUCGGAAUCUGGGAGGACCAUCUCCUAAGGCUAAAUACUCUCUAGUGACCGAUAGUGAACCAGUACCGUGAGGGAAAGGUGAAAAGCACCCCGGAAGGGGAGUGAAAUAGAACCUGAAACCGUGUGCUUACAAGUAGUCAGAGCCCGUUAAUGGGUGAUGGCGUGCCUUUUGUAGAAUGAACCGGCGAGUUACGAUUUGAUGCAAGGUUAAGCAGUAAAUGUGGAGCCGUAGCGAAAGCNNNNNNNNNNAGUCUGAAUAGGGCGUUUAGUAUUUGGUCGUAGACCCGAAACCAGGUGAUCUACCCUUGGUCAGGUUGAAGUUCAGGUAACACUGAAUGGAGGACCGAACCGACUUACGUUGAAAAGUGAGCGGAUGAACUGAGGGUAGCGGAGAAAUUCCAAUCGAACCUGGAGAUAGCUGGUUCUCUCCGAAAUAGCUUUAGGGCUAGCCUCAAGUGAUGAUUAUUGGAGGUAGAGCACUGUUUGGACGAGGGGCCCCUCUCGGGUUACCGAAUUCAGACAAACUCCGAAUGCCAAUUAAUUUAACUUGGGAGUCAGAACAUGGGUGAUAAGGUCCGUGUUCGAAAGGGAAACAGCCCAGACCACCAGCUAAGGUCCCAAAAUAUAUGUUAAGUGGAAAAGGAUGUGGCGUUGCCCAGACAACUAGGAUGUUGGCUUAGAAGCAGCCAUCAUUUAAAGAGUGCGUAAUAGCUCACUAGUCGAGUGACACUGCGCCGAAAAUGUACCGGGGCUAAACAUAUUACCGAAGCUGUGGAUUGUCCUUUGGACAAUGGUAGGAGAGCGUUCUAAGGGCGUUGAAGCAUGAUCGUAAGGACAUGUGGAGCGCUUAGAAGUGAGAAUGCCGGUGUGAGUAGCGAAAGACGGGUGAGAAUCCCGUCCACCGAUUGACUAAGGUUUCCAGAGGAAGGCUCGUCCGCUCUGGGUUAGUCGGGUCCUAAGCUGAGGCCGACAGGCGUAGGCGAUGGAUAACAGGUUGAUAUUCCUGUACCACCUAUAAUCGUUUUAAUCGAUGGGGGGACGCAGUAGGAUAGGCGAAGCGUGCGAUUGGAUUGCACGUCUAAGCAGUAAGGCUGAGUAUUAGGCAAAUCCGGUACUCGUUAAGGCUGAGCUGUGAUGGGGAGAAGACAUUGAGUCUUCGAGUCGUUGAUUUCACACUGCCGAGAAAAGCCUCUAGAUAGAAAAUAGGUGCCCGUACCGCAAACCGACACAGGUAGUCAAGAUGAGAAUUCUAAGGUGAGCGAGCGAACUCUCGUUAAGGAACUCGGCAAAAUGACCCCGUAACUUCGGGAGAAGGGGUGCUCUUUAGGGUUAACGCCCAGAAGAGCCGCAGUGAAUAGGCCCAAGCGACUGUUUAUCAAAAACACAGGUCUCUGCUAAACCGUAAGGUGAUGUAUAGGGGCUGACGCCUGCCCGGUGCUGGAAGGUUAAGAGGAGUGGUUAGCUUCUGCGAAGCUACGAAUCGAAGCCCCAGUAAACGGCGGCCGUAACUAUAACGGUCCUAAGGUAGCGAAAUUCCUUGUCGGGUAAGUUCCGACCCGCACGAAAGGCGUAACGAUUUGGGCACUGUCUCAACGAGAGACUCGGUGAAAUCAUAGUACCUGUGAAGAUGCAGGUUACCCGCGACAGGACGGAAAGACCCCGUGGAGCUUUACUGUAGCCUGAUAUUGAAAUUCGGCACAGCUUGUACAGGAUAGGUAGGAGCCUUUGAAACGUGAGCGCUAGCUUACGUGGAGGCGCUGGUGGGAUACUACCCUAGCUGUGUUGGCUUUCUAACCCGCACCACUUAUCGUGGUGGGAGACAGUGUCAGGCGGGCAGUUUGACUGGGGCGGUCGCCUCCUAAAAGGUAACGGAGGCGCUCAAAGGUUCCCUCAGAAUGGUUGGAAAUCAUUCAUAGAGUGUAAAGGCAUAAGGGAGCUUGACUGCGAGACCUACAAGUCGAGCAGGGUCGAAAGACGGACUUAGUGAUCCGGUGGUUCCGCAUGGAAGGGCCAUCGCUCAACGGAUAAAAGCUACCCCGGGGAUAACAGGCUUAUCUCCCCCAAGAGUUCACAUCGACGGGGAGGUUUGGCACCUCGAUGUCGGCUCAUCGCAUCCUGGGGCUGUAGUCGGUCCCAAGGGUUGGGCUGUUCGCCCAUUAAAGCGGUACGCGAGCUGGGUUCAGAACGUCGUGAGACAGUUCGGUCCCUAUCCGUCGUGGGCGUAGGAAAUUUGAGAGGAGCUGUCCUUAGUACGAGAGGACCGGGAUGGACAUACCUCUGGUGUACCAGUUGUCGUGCCAACGGCAUAGCUGGGUAGCUAUGUGUGGACGGGAUAAGUGCUGAAAGCAUCUAAGCAUGAAGCCCCCCUCAAGAUGAGAUUUCCCAACUUCGGUUAUAAGAUCCCUCAAAGAUGAUGAGGUUAAUAGGUUCGAGGUGGAAGCAUGGUGACAUGUGGAGCUGACGAAUACUAAUCGAUCGAAGACUUAAUCAA
Molecule: ribosomal RNA, 2930 nt
Filed under: Staphylococcus aureus
Lineage: Bacteria; Bacillati; Bacillota; Bacilli; Caryophanales; Staphylococcaceae
Description: bacterial LSU rRNA
Rfam family: Bacterial large subunit ribosomal RNA
Source: RNAcentral